This 432-nucleotide ribosomal RNA is filed under the name uncultured bacterium. RNAcentral describes it as "partial 16S ribosomal RNA". It matches the Rfam family "Bacterial small subunit ribosomal RNA", at positions 29 to 506 of the family's 1533-position model. The record is from RNAcentral.
AACGAACGCUGGCGGCAUGCCUAACACAUGCAAGUCAAACGAGACCUUCGGGUCUAGUGGCGCACGGGUGCGUAACGCGUGGGAACCUGCCCUUAGGUUCGGAAUAACUCCCCGAAAGGGGUGCUAAUACCGGAUAAUGUCUUCGGACCAAAGAUUUAUCGCCUUUGGAUGGGCCCGCGUUGGAUUAGCUAGUGGGGAGGUUAACAGCCUACCAAGGCGACGAUCCAUAGCUGGUCUGAGAGGAUGAUCAGCCACACUGGGACUGAGACACGGCCCAGACUCCUCCGGGAGGCAGCAGUGGGGAAUAUUGGACACUGGGCGAAAGCCUGAGCCAGCAGUGCCGCGUGAGUGAUGAAGGCCUUAGGGUUGUAAAGCUCUUUUACCCGGGAUGAUAAUGACAGUCCCGGGAGAAUAAGCUCCGGCUAACUCCGU